AUUGAACGCUGGCGGCAGGCCUAACACAUGCAAGUCGAGCGGAUGAAGGGAGCUUGCUCCUGGAUUCAGCGGCGGACGGGUGAGUAAUGCCUAGGAAUCUGCCUGGUAGUGGGGGAUAACGUCCGGAAACGGGCGCUAAUACCGCAUACGUCCUGAGGGAGAAAGUGGGGGAUCUUCGGACCGCACCCUCUCAGAUGAGCCUAGGUCGGAUUAGCUAGUUGGUGGGGUAAAGGCCUACCAAGCCGACGAUCCGUAACUGGUCUGAGAGGAUGAUCAGUCACACUGGAACUGAGACACGGUCCAGACUCCUACGGGAGGCAGCAGUGGGGAAUAUUGGACAAUGGGCGAAAGCCUGAUCCAGCCAUGCCGCGUGUGUGAAGAAGGUCUUCGGAUUGUAAAGCACUUUAAGUUGGGAGGAAGGGCAGUAAGUUAAUACCUUGCUGUUUUGACGUUACCAACAGAAUAAGCACCGGCUAACUUCGUG
Molecule: ribosomal RNA, 484 nt
Filed under: uncultured bacterium
Lineage: Bacteria
Description: partial 16S ribosomal RNA
Rfam family: Bacterial small subunit ribosomal RNA
Source: RNAcentral